Molecule: ribosomal RNA, 451 nt
Filed under: Lotharella globosa
Lineage: Eukaryota; Cercozoa; Chlorarachniophyceae
Description: partial Bacterial large subunit ribosomal RNA
Rfam family: Bacterial large subunit ribosomal RNA
Source: RNAcentral
UGGUGGAUGCCUUGGCGUCAAGAGGCGAUGAAGGACGUGGCACUCUGCGAUAAGCUUCGGGGAGGGGAGAGCACCCUUUGAUCCGUGGAUCUCUGAAUGGGGAAACCCGGCGCUUUAGCGUCAUCUCGGACUGAAUACAUAGGUUCGAGAAGCGAACCCGGCGAAGUGAAACAUCUCAGUAGCCGGAGGAAAGGACAUCAACCGAGACUCCGUUAGUAGUGGCGAGCGAACGCGGACCAGGCCAGUGGCAGUAUUUUAAGAACCGGAACCGUCUGGAAAGUCGGGCCAUAGUGGGUGAUAGCCCCUUACGGGUAGAAAGAGAUACUGUCCUCGAGUAGGGCGGGGCACGUGAAACCUUGUCUGAACAUGGGGGGACCAUCCUCCAAGCCUAAGUACUCCUCGAUGACCGAUAGUGAACCAGUACCGUGAGGGAAAGGUGAAAAGCACCCCG